Molecule: ribosomal RNA, 114 nt
Filed under: Acanthosepion pharaonis
Lineage: Eukaryota; Metazoa; Mollusca; Cephalopoda; Sepiida; Sepiidae
Source: RNAcentral
UUACGGUCAAAUCACGCUGAAACACCGGUUCUCGUACGAUCACCGAAGUUAAGCAUCGUAGAGCCAGGUCAGUACUUAGAUGGGGGACCGAUUGGGAACACCUGGUACUGUAAG